UCAGUAACGGCGAGUGAAGCGGUAACAGCUCAAAUUUGAAAUCUGGCUCUUUCAGGGUCCGAGUUGUAAUUUGUAGAAGAUGCUUUGGGUGUGGCACCGGUCUAAGUUCCUUGGAACAGGACGUCAUAGAGGGUGAGAAUCCCGUAUGUGACUGGUUGCUUUCGCCCGUGUAAAGCUCUUUCGACGAGUCGAGUUGUUUGGGAAUGCAGCUCAAAAUGGGUGGUAAAUUUCAUCUAAAGCUAAAUAUUGGCCAGAGACCGAUAGCGCACAAGUAGAGUGAUCGAAAGAUGAAAAGCACUUUGGAAAGAGAGUUAAACAGUACGUGAAAUUGUUGAAAGGGAAGCGCUUGCAACCAGACUCGCAUUCCGUCGAUCAUCCGGAGUUCUCUCCGGUGCACUCGGCGGUAUUCGGGCCAGCAUCGGUUUGGGUGGUGGGAUAAAGGCCUUGGGAAUGUAGCUCCUUUCGGGGAGUGUUAUAGCCCUCGGUGCAAUGCCGCCUACCUGGACCGAGGACCGCGCUUCGGCUAGGAUGCUGGCGUAAUGGUUGUAAGCGACCCGUCUUGAAACACGGACCAAGGAGUCUAACAUCUAUGCGAGUAUUUGGGUGUUAAACCCAUAUGCGUAAUGAAAGUGAACGGAGGUGAGAACCCUUAAGGGUGCAUCAUCGACCGAUCCUGAUGUCUUCGGAUGGAUUUGAGUAAGAGCAUAGCUGUUGGGACCCGAAAGAUGGUGAACUAUGCCUAAAUAGGGUGAAGCCAGAGGAAACUCUGGUGGAGGCUCGCAGCGGUUCUGACGUGCAAAUCGAUCGUCAAAUUUGGGUAUAGGGGCGAAAGACUAAUCGAACCAUCUAGUAGCUGGUUCCUGC
RNAcentral lists this ribosomal RNA (864 nucleotides) under Lachnellula cervina. RNAcentral describes it as "LSU rRNA". It matches the Rfam family "Eukaryotic large subunit ribosomal RNA", at positions 80 to 961 of the family's 3401-position model. The record is from RNAcentral. Lineage: Eukaryota; Fungi; Ascomycota; Leotiomycetes; Helotiales; Lachnaceae.